Molecule: unclassified non-coding RNA, 314 nt
Filed under: fungal sp.
Lineage: Eukaryota; Fungi
Description: partial internal transcribed spacer region
Rfam family: Eukaryotic small subunit ribosomal RNA (bases 1-46)
Source: RNAcentral
AAGUCGUAACAAGGUAACCGUAGGUGAACCUGCGGUUGGAUCAUUAACAAAUGAAAAGGGGACUUCGGUCAACUUUAGUUUAGUUAGUCCGUUCGUUCGUUCGUUCGGUCGUGCAAACAUUUUGUGAACUGUAAAGUCUCUGGCGGCCGGGUGCAACUGACCUUCAGGCCAUGUUGCAUCUGUCAACUUGAGAAAUCAGGUCGUGGACAAACCGCCAACCAUCUGUUUUGACUUGAUAAUGUGUUUUAUUUUUAUCUAACAUUUACUUGUAUAAAAUAUACAAACAACUUUUGGCAACGGAUCUCUUGGCUCUC